AUUGAACGCUGGCGGCAGGCCUAACACAUGCAAGUCGAGCGGAUGAAGGGAGCUUGCUCCUGGAUUCAGCGGCGGACGGGUGAGUAAUGCCUAGGAAUCUGCCUGGUAGUGGGGGAUAACGUCCGGAAACGGGCGCUAAUACCGCAUACGUCCUGAGGGAGAAAGUGGGGGAUCUUCGGACCUCACGCUAUCAGAUGAGCCUAGGUCGGAUUAGCUAGUUGGUGGGGUAAAGGCCUACCAAGGCGACGAUCCGUAACUGGUCUGAGAGGAUGAUCAGUCACACUGGAACUGAGACACGGUCCAGACUCCUACGGGAGGCAGCAGUGGGGAAUAUUGGACAAUGGGCGAAAGCCUGAUCCAGCCAUGCCGCGUGUGUGAAGAAGGUCUUCGGAUUGUAAAGCACUUUAAGUGGGGAGGAAGGGCAGUAAGUUAAUACGUUGCUGUUUUGACGUUACCAACAGAAUAAGCACCGGCUAACUUCGUG
RNAcentral lists this ribosomal RNA (484 nucleotides) under uncultured bacterium. RNAcentral's name for it is "partial 16S ribosomal RNA". It matches the Rfam family "Bacterial small subunit ribosomal RNA", at positions 30 to 507 of the family's 1533-position model. The record is from RNAcentral.